AAUGAACGUUGGCGGCGUGGAUUAGGCAUGCAAGUCGAGCGAGAACCGUAGCAAUACGGGGACAGCGGCGAAAGGGAGAGUAAUGCGUGGAUACCUACCCUCGGGUUCGGGAUAGCUACGGGAAACUGUAGGUAAUACCGAAUAAUAUCUCCGGAUCAAAGGUGUGAUUCCGCCGGAGGAGUGGUCCACGUCCUAUUAGCUAGUUGGCGAGGUAACGGCUCACCAAGGCGAAGAUGGGUAUGGGGUGUGAGAGCAUGCCCCCACUCACUGGGACUGAGACACUGCCCAGACACCUACGGGUGGCUGCAGUCGAGAAUCUUCGGCAAUGGGGGAAACCCUGACCGAGCGACGCCGCGUGCGAGAUGAAGGCCUUCGGGUUGUAAAUCGCUGUCAGAGGGGAGGAAAUGCUAGUGGGUUCUCCCAUUAGUUUGACCUAUCCUCAGAGGAAGGACGGGCUAAGUUCGUGCCAGCAGCCGCCGCGG
Molecule: ribosomal RNA, 482 nt
Filed under: uncultured bacterium
Lineage: Bacteria
Description: partial 16S ribosomal RNA
Rfam family: Bacterial small subunit ribosomal RNA
Source: RNAcentral